UGAGGAAUAUUGGGUCAAUGGACGGGAGUCUGAACCAGCCAAGUAGCGUGCAGGAUGACGGCCCUAUGGGUUGUAAACUGCUUUUAUAGGGGGAUAAAGUGUGCCACGUGUGGCAUAUUGCAUGUACCUUAUGAAUAAGGACCGGCUAAUUCCGUGCCAGCAGCCGCGGUAAUACGGAAGGUCCGGGCGUUAUCCGGAUUUAUUGGGUUUAAAGGGAGCGUAGGCCGGAGAUUAAGCGUGUUGUGAAAUGUAGUGGCUCAACCUCUGCACUGCAGCGCGAACUGGUCUUCUUGAGUACGCACAACGUGGGCGGAAUUCGUGGUGUAGCGGUGAAAUGCUUAGAUAUCACGAAGAACUCCGAUUGCGAAGGCAGCUCACGGGAGCGCAACUG
Molecule: ribosomal RNA, 391 nt
Filed under: uncultured Prevotella sp.
Lineage: Bacteria; Pseudomonadati; Bacteroidota; Bacteroidia; Bacteroidales; Prevotellaceae
Description: bacterial SSU rRNA
Rfam family: Bacterial small subunit ribosomal RNA
Source: RNAcentral